Long non-coding RNA from Papaver somniferum (opium poppy), 2336 nucleotides. RefSeq lists it as uncharacterized. The record is from RefSeq and is a predicted model, not a curated record. NCBI's taxonomy places the organism in Eukaryota, Viridiplantae, Streptophyta, Magnoliopsida, Ranunculales, Papaveraceae. The transcript is spliced from 9 exons.
AUCCGAGAAAAAUAAAAACAAAAUCAAGGAAAAUAAUAAUAAAAAAAAUCGAGAGAAAAAAAAACGUAGAACAAAACCUAGAAACCUCCAUCUCUCGCCUCUUUCCUUCUCUUGAUUUCUCAUUGUGUUAUUGAUUAACAAGAUCAAAGAAGUAAGGCACAUAUACGUAGCAACAGGGUUUUGAUGAUGUCUUGAGAACAAAACCUAAAAACCCUCCAUCUCUCGCCUCUUUCCUUUUCUUGAUUUCUCAUUGUGUUAUUGAUUAACAGGAUCCAAGAAGUAAGGCACAUAUACGUAACAACAGGGUUUUGAUGAUGUCUUGAGAAAUAAAUAUAUUAAUUAGGGUUCAUAUAUUUAGAAAAAAUACAGCCGAAACCCUAAAACCAAACCAUUGAUCUCUUAUUAUUUCAUCUCAAAAUCCCGCGUCUUUGAUCCGACUCAUGUUUUGAAUGCCUGUUUUUGAUUGGUUUUAAUCUCUCUGUUCUUCAUGUCCAUUAUUACGUCUCUGUAGGGUUUUUCUUUUUGAGUUUCAUUCUACAGGGAAGGUUGCAGUUGCAGUGAAGUUGGGUUUUAGGGAGAAAAGCCUGAAACAAAUACGUAAUCCAGAUCAGCAUUUUGGAGGGUGUAUGAAUGGAAGUUCAUGAAUUGCGUUUAGUUUUGGACAAGUGUUGUCUGUGCAUACAGUUCUGGACCUGACUUCCGGCCCUUGGCUUAUCCCUUUGCUCAAUCACAUUGCUGCUUCUUUGGGCGCAUGUUGUUGCAGUUGCGAAAAGGGUGGUCGCUAUCUUUUUCACUGGCAACAGGGUUUUGAUGAUGUCUCGAGAAAUCAACCUGGUAUAUAGUUUUGGAUGAAUCAGAUGUUGACGCUCCAUCAACGAUCAACAACGCUGAGGCUGACAGGUUUGUGCUGUAUGCAACAGUGAGGUCUAUGAAAGUCUUCCCUGACACUUUAUUUAAUUUCUCGAGAAUAUCCUGCUCAUUGUGAAAAUGUAAAAGAAAUGAUCUGGGUCAAGAGAAUCAGAAUUAUGCGGAUCCAUGCACAAUUCUACAUUAGCAGAUCAGUUUAGCAACCACACAACAACAUUUCCGUUUUGAUCUAAAUGCACCCACCUUCUCCGUGUAUAUGCUCUAGGACUUGACCAAUGAAUAUUGGCGCCGAAAUGGACUGUGCCCAAGCGUUCCGCACGGAUACGUUAAAUAUGUGUCUGGAGUCCACAAAAUACCACAGUUUCUUGCGGCAUCUCUUCAAUAAGACUGCUAAACAGCAUAGGCCCAACUGCUAAACUAAGGAAAAAGUAACCAAAUAUACUUUGGCUUCCCCAAAUUUGCUUUGUUUUGCGCAGAGCAUAUAUGAAAACACUGUUGUAGUGUUUCAAUCGAGUAAAAAUGGUGAUCUCACUCUCUGCUGCAUAAGGUUCACGGAUAGCUUCCAGGAGGUAUACGAAGCUAACUAGAAGGAUAAGUUCUAAGAUAAUUCCAUAUGGUUAGUACACAUGUAACAUCUUUGAUGCACAACUCCAUUAAACUUAUCCUCUAAUAGUAGCUGAUGGAAAAUCUGAGUUUUAUGUAUGAGCAUCGUCUAAUCGAUGACAUGGUGGCAUAUGCACUAAAAAGCGAAGGUGGAUAUGUGUGGACUUGCAGAAAUUACGAUGGAGAUGUCCAUAGUGAUUUCCUCGCUCAAGGUACUGCCCAGGAAUUGGUGCGUGUGCAUAUAAGGUGGUACAAUUGAAUUGUGGACAUAAAACCUUAUAUGGGUGAAAUCUAUUACCAAUAACCUUGAACUUUCAAAUGGCAUGGCAGUCCCUGCUAUUGGUAAUUAUAUAAUAACAUAAUAAAGGUGGAGAUUUAAGAGUACUUGCAGAAUGUUGUGAGAGGGAGAAAUGCUUUAGCAUAUGGCACAUACAAGUAUUAUUAUAAGAAAACGGGUAAAUCAAGAAGAAGCAGCCAACCAGUGAACAUUCUGUGUGCCUAAUUUGCGAGGGUGACUAUGAAUUACACUAUAGAAAAAAAGGGUUCUAAUAGAUGUGGAUUUUGGUAUUCAUGCAUCUUCCAAUGAUGUUGAUGUUUCCACCGUGUCAAUGACGACGAGUACAUCCCAUUUACUGUUAUAAAUAAGAGAUAAGGAUUCCCCAUGUACAAGUUCUGUCGACUAUUGUCACUCGGAAGAAUAUGCAAGCAUGGAUAUUGAUUCAAAUGAUGCAGGACAAAAAGAAGAUGAAGAUGAUGAAGAAGAAGAGAAUCAAGUAGAAGUAUCACUGAUUCAACUGUAAUAGAAGAGAACAAAGAAAUAUAUUUGAUAUGAAUAUAACAAGCAAUUGAGGUGCUCACUGCUCAUA